RNAcentral lists this transfer RNA (65 nucleotides) under Heterosigma akashiwo. Lineage: Eukaryota; Raphidophyceae; Chattonellales; Chattonellaceae. The record is from RNAcentral.
AGUGGAUCAAUGGUUUGAAGUCGAUUUUCGAAGCUAGAGGUCGGCGGUUAGAAUCCCGCCUUGUC